This 300-nucleotide ribosomal RNA is filed under the name Bacillus amyloliquefaciens. RNAcentral describes it as "bacterial SSU rRNA". It matches the Rfam family "Bacterial small subunit ribosomal RNA", at positions 54 to 344 of the family's 1533-position model. Lineage: Bacteria; Bacillati; Bacillota; Bacilli; Caryophanales; Bacillaceae. The record is from RNAcentral.
CAUGCAAGUCGAGCGGACAGAUGGGAGCUUGCUCCCUGAUGUUAGCGGCGGACGGGUGAGUAACACGUGGGUAACCUGCCUGUAAGACUGGGAUAACUCCGGGAAACCGGGGCUAAUACCGGAUGCUUGUUUGAACCGCAUGGUUCAGACAUAAAAGGUGGCUUCGGCUACCACUUACAGAUGGACCCGCGGCGCAUUAGCUAGUUGGUGAGGUAACGGCUCACCAAGGCGACGAUGCGUAGCCGACCUGAGAGGGUGAUCGGCCACACUGGGACUGAGACACGGCCCAGACUCCUACGG